This 253-nucleotide ribosomal RNA is filed under the name uncultured bacterium. RNAcentral's name for it is "partial 16S ribosomal RNA". It matches the Rfam family "Bacterial small subunit ribosomal RNA", at positions 524 to 776 of the family's 1533-position model. The record is from RNAcentral.
UACGAAGGGGGCGAGCGUUGUUCGGAUUUACUGGGCGUAAAGGGCGCGUAGGCGGCCAUCUAAGUCAGACGUGAAAUCCCCCGGCUUAACCUGGGAACUGCGUCUGAUACUGGACGGCUGGAGUUUGGGAGAGGGAUGUAGAAUUCCAGGUGUAGCGGUGAAAUGCGUAGAUAUCUGGAGGAAUACCGGUGGCGAAGGCGGCAUCCUGGACCAAUACUGACGCUGAGGCGCGAAAGCUAGGGGAGCAAACGGG